UUUAAGAACCGAUUUUAAAAGUGCUACUUUUAAAAUCGGUUCUUAAGUAGCCAAUUUUAAAAGUAACACUUUCAAAAUCGGUUCUUAUG
RNAcentral lists this microRNA precursor (89 nucleotides) under Cajanus cajan (pigeon pea). Its description in RNAcentral is "miRNA gene-KK1_040247". The record is from RNAcentral. Lineage: Eukaryota; Viridiplantae; Streptophyta; Magnoliopsida; Fabales; Fabaceae.